UACAGAGGGGGCGAGCGUUGUUCGGAAUCACUGGGCGUAAAGGGCGCGUAGGUGGUGGCUUAAGCGUGCGGUGAAAGCUCGGGGCUCAACCCCGAGUCGGCCGUGCGAACUGGGCUCACUGGAGCAUAGUAGAGGCAGGUGGAAUUCCGGGUGUAGCGGUGGAAUGCGUAGAGAUCCGGAAGAACACCGGUGGCGAAGGCGGCCUGCUGGGCUAUGGCUGACACUGAGGCGCGACAGCGUGGGGAGCAAACAGG
RNAcentral lists this ribosomal RNA (254 nucleotides) under uncultured bacterium. RNAcentral's name for it is "partial 16S ribosomal RNA". It matches the Rfam family "Bacterial small subunit ribosomal RNA", at positions 524 to 776 of the family's 1533-position model. The record is from RNAcentral.